CCGAUCCGAUCGUGUACUGUUAUCGUCAUUAUCAUCCAUUUUAUAGUCCAUACAAGAUCUAAAAUGGUUGGCACAGUUUUGUCUCAUCUUUUUGGGGGUUUUUUGCUAUGAAGAUGAUGAGGAGGAGGAGGAGGAAGAUAAGACAGUGAGCACGGGGAGAGCGGCAUAAAUAGAGAGCCACACCGCAGGUUGGAGAGAGCCUGGGCACCAGAGAGCCGAGUGCGAAGCAUUCAUUAUUACAAAUGUUACAGAUGCUUCAGACAGGGGGCUGGGGGCCGUACUCUCGCAGGUGGUGGAGGGGGAGGAGCGCCUGGUGCUGUACAUUAGCCAUAAGCUCUCCUUGAGGGAAACUAAGUACAGCACCGUAGAAAAGGAUUGUCUCGCCAUCAAGUGGGCGGUCCUCACUCUCCGAUACUACCUGUUGGGGCGGGCCUUCACCCUCUGUUCCGAUCACGCCCCACUCCAGUGGCUCCACCGCAUGAAAGAUACCAAUGCCCGGAUCACCCGUUGGUACCUGGCUCUUCAGCCGUUUAAGUUCAAGGUGGUCCACAGACCGGGGGCGCAGAUGGCUGUCGCUGAAUUCCUUUCCAGGAAUGGGGGGGGAGUGGUAGGCAGGCUGGAUGCCGCCCCAGCCUGAGUCGGGCGGUGGGGAUAUGUGGCAGCGGGGGCGUGUUCAAGCAUCUCUCCGGAGAGAGAGAAAGCGGUAAGGGCGCUUACACCUGAGAUAAAUUAUGUCUAACACCUGUCUCUAAUUUCAGUGAGCACGGGGAGAGCGGCAUAAAUAGAGAGCCACACCGCAGGUUGGAGAGAGCCUGGGCACCAGAGAGCCGAGUACGAAGCAAAGAGUUCAUUAUUACAAAUGUUGAGAGUUUAUUUUGUGAAGUGGUGUGUGUGAAUUCGGACAAGCUUAGUGAACAAGACAAAAACUCUGAGACUGUACUACUGCUGCAGAGAGAAAAAUAAAAAUCCUUACCUGAAC
This is a long non-coding RNA of Myxocyprinus asiaticus (Chinese sucker), 979 nucleotides long. RefSeq lists it as uncharacterized. The record is from RefSeq and is a predicted model, not a curated record. Lineage: Eukaryota; Metazoa; Chordata; Actinopteri; Cypriniformes; Catostomidae. The transcript is spliced from 3 exons.